UAAUAAUAUGAUUUAAUUUAAUUAGUAUUAAUUAAUUAGCAAUAAAAUAAUUUUAAAUUAAAAUUUAUUAGGUGAAAUUUUUAAAUUUUUAAAAAAUUUAUUAUUUUUAAUGAAGUUAGGAAAUUUAAUUGAUAAACUAGGAUUAGAUACCCUAUUAUUUUAAAUGUAUUUUUAUAAACUAAAUUAUUAUUAGUUAUGUUCUUGAAAAUUAAAAAUUUUGGCGGUAUUUUAGUCUAUUCAGAGGAACCUGUUCUGUAAUUGAUAAUCCACGAUUUAAUUUACUUUUUUUUUUAGUUUGUAUAUCGUCGUAAUUUGAAUAUUUUAUAAGAAUAAUAAUAUUCAAGAUAUUUAAUAAGAAAAUAAAUCAGAUCAAGGUGCAGUUAAUAAAAGAGAAGAAAUGGGUUACAAUAAAUUUAUUUAAGGAUUAUUAUUUAUAAAAUAAUAUGAAUUUGGAUUUGAGGGUAAAUUUAAUUAAUUAAUUAAUUUGAUUUUAGCUCUAAAAU
Molecule: ribosomal RNA, 503 nt
Filed under: Chrysolina bankii
Lineage: Eukaryota; Metazoa; Arthropoda; Insecta; Coleoptera; Chrysomelidae
Description: partial 12S small subunit ribosomal RNA
Source: RNAcentral